Molecule: ribosomal RNA, 407 nt
Filed under: uncultured bacterium
Lineage: Bacteria
Description: partial 16S ribosomal RNA
Rfam family: Bacterial small subunit ribosomal RNA
Source: RNAcentral
GACGAACGCUGGCGGCGUGCCUAAUACAUGCAAGUAGAACGCCGUUGCGAACGGGUGAGUAACGCGUAGGUAACUGCCUCAUAGCGGGGGAUUACUAUUUGAAACGAUAGCUAAUACCGCAUACUGUGAGAUGGACCUGCUUUGUAUUAGCUAGGUGGUGAGGUAAAGGCUCACCAAGGCGACGAUCAAUAGCCGGCCUGAGAGGGAGGACGGCCAAAAUGGGACCGGGGAACGGGACAAGCUUCCACGGGAGGCAGCAGGAGGGAAUCUUCGCAAAUGGACGGAAGGCCGACCGAGCAAAGGCGCGUGAGUGAAGAAGGGUUUCGGAUUGUAAAGCUAUGUUGUGAGAGAAGCGGUAACCAAACAAAAAGGGACGGCUAACUACGUGCCAGCAGCCGCGGUAAUAC